This 512-nucleotide long non-coding RNA is filed under the name Homo sapiens (human). Its description in RNAcentral is "HSALNT0402265". The record is from RNAcentral. Lineage: Eukaryota; Metazoa; Chordata; Mammalia; Primates; Hominidae.
AGCCUUGCUCCUGCAGCAAGCACUGAGGUGCUAGGCGCCUGGGCUUUCCCUUCCCUUUUCCUGAAAUACAGACUGGCUUCUCUUUGGAUAUUGGCAUCCAGCCUUCUGGCAAACUGGGAUUCAGAAUGGCAGAAUAUAGACGCCGUGAAUCUAGUGUCAAUAACAGACCGAUACAGGGGACAACUCAAGCUGAAGGAGGUUCGCCGUGCAGAAAGGGCUUGCUUCUCGCCAAGCGCAGUAGCCAAGGAAACCACCACCGAGGACUGGCCCAGAUAGAAGUGGCGUGGCAUGGCGCCUCUCCUUCCAAUCCGCUGGGCAACAACGUGGCCCAUCGGUGCUGAAGUUUUUAACAAUCUCCUUUGAAAUGUAACUCAUUAUACAAAAGCAGAACUAAAUAAAAAAUACUCCAGAGAGGGAACAGAUUGUUAGCUAUAGAUUAGAAGUGUAGCCUAAUCCUUCACAAGCAUUAAAUAUUUAACAUCAUUGCACCACAGGUGCCAAGAAGAUGUCAG